UUUAAAGUUUGACCUGCCCAAUGAGGAUUUGAAUGGCCGCGGUAAUUUGACCGUGCAAAGGUAGCAUAAUCAUUAGUUUUUUAAUUGAAAGCUGGAAUGAAUGGUUGGACGAGAAAAUAGCUGUCUUAGUUUAAUUGAUAUUAGAAUUUUAUUUUUAAGUUAAAAAGCUUAAAUGUAAUUAAAAGACGAGAAGACCCUGUAGAGUUUUAUAUGUUUAUUGUUAUUAUUUUUUUAGUAUUAGUUUUAAUUUUAAUAUUGGAUUUAUUUAGUUGGGGCGAUUUGGAAAUUGGCUAAACUUUCUAUAAUUAGUUAACAUUGAUUUAUGGUUGAUUGAUCCAUUAGUUGUGAUUAUAAGAUUAAAUUACCUUAGGGAUAACAGCGUUAUUUUGUUUGAGAGUUCUUAUCGAAAAUAGAGUUUGCGACCUCGAUGUUGGAUUAAAAUUAACUGUUGGUGUAGGGGCUAAUUAGUUGAGUCUGUUCGACUUUUAAAAUUUUACAUGAUCUGAGUUUAAACCGGUGUGAGCCAGGUUGGUUUCUAUCUUUAGUUAAUAUUAAUAUCUUAGUACGAAAGGACCAGAUAUUGGUAAUAUUUAUUUAUUUAUGAAUUUUAUUA
RNAcentral lists this ribosomal RNA (613 nucleotides) under Isonychus sp. BMNH 670884. Its description in RNAcentral is "partial 16S large subunit ribosomal RNA". It matches the Rfam family "Bacterial large subunit ribosomal RNA", at positions 1844 to 2731 of the family's 2925-position model. Lineage: Eukaryota; Metazoa; Arthropoda; Insecta; Coleoptera; Scarabaeidae. The record is from RNAcentral.